RNAcentral lists this transfer RNA (72 nucleotides) under Perkinsus marinus ATCC 50983. It matches the Rfam family "tRNA". From Rfam's summary of the family: Transfer RNA (tRNA) molecules are approximately 80 nucleotides in length. Their secondary structure includes four short double-helical elements and three loops (D, anti-codon, and T loops). The record is from Rfam by way of RNAcentral. Lineage: Eukaryota; Perkinsozoa; Perkinsida; Perkinsidae.
GCACCGCUAGUCUAAUGGUUAGGAUAUCUGCCUUCCAAGCAGGUGGUCCGGGUUCGAUUCCCGGGCGGUGCA